GUGAAUCAUCAAAUUUUUGAACGCAAAUUGCACUCUCUUCGGAGAGUAAGCCUGUUCCAGGGUCAGCCUAAAAAAAACUGACAUAUUCGCUGUUUCGCGGUGACAUGCGUCGGAAAUGGGGUCAUCGUACACCUUUGCGUUUUUAGCGGCUUACACUUCUCUUUACGACUCGACGAAGGUUAU
This 183-nucleotide unclassified non-coding RNA is filed under the name Glomus sp. RNAcentral's name for it is "partial contains 5.8S ribosomal RNA and internal transcribed spacer 2". The stretch from base 1 to 65 matches the Rfam family "5.8S ribosomal RNA", at positions 84 to 154 of the family's 154-position model. The record is from RNAcentral. Lineage: Eukaryota; Fungi; Glomeromycota; Glomeromycetes; Glomerales; Glomeraceae.